CGGGACGGGUGAGUAACGCGUGGGUAACCUGCCUUAUACAGGGGGAUAACAGUCAGAAAUGGCUGCUAAUACCGCAUAAGCGCACAGAGCUGCAUGGCUCAGUGUGAAAAACUCCGGUGGUAUAAGAUGGACCCGCGUUGGAUUAGCUAGUUGGUGGGGUAACGGCCCACCAAGGCGACGAUCCAUAGCCGGCCUGAGAGGGUGAACGGUCACAUUGGGACUGAGACACGGCCCAGACUCCUACGGGAGGCAGCAUG
This 257-nucleotide ribosomal RNA is filed under the name uncultured bacterium. RNAcentral's name for it is "partial 16S ribosomal RNA". It matches the Rfam family "Bacterial small subunit ribosomal RNA", at positions 98 to 353 of the family's 1533-position model. The record is from RNAcentral.